UUGAGCCUACGGGUGUCAGCAUUUAUUCCUAUUUUUCACUUUCCGCAUGGCUGAACCAGCCAAGUCGCGUGAGGGAUGACGGUCCUAUGGAUUGUAAACCUCUUUUGUCAGGGAGCAAAGGGCGCCACGUGUGGCGUUUUGCGAGUACCUGAAGAAAAAGCAUCGGCUAACUCCGUGCCAGCAGCCGCGGUAAUACGGAGGAUGCGAGCGUCAUCCGGAUUUAUUGGGUUUAAAGGGUGCGCAGGCGGAAUGUCAAGUCAGCGGUAAAAUUUCGGGGCUCAACCCCGUCGUGCCGUUGAAACUGG
RNAcentral lists this ribosomal RNA (305 nucleotides) under uncultured bacterium. RNAcentral's name for it is "bacterial SSU rRNA". It matches the Rfam family "Bacterial small subunit ribosomal RNA", at positions 333 to 636 of the family's 1533-position model. The record is from RNAcentral.